RNAcentral lists this ribosomal RNA (408 nucleotides) under uncultured Peyronellaea. RNAcentral's name for it is "eukaryotic LSU rRNA". The stretch from base 104 to 257 matches the Rfam family "5.8S ribosomal RNA". The record is from RNAcentral. Lineage: Eukaryota; Fungi; Ascomycota; Dothideomycetes; Pleosporales; Didymellaceae.
UGUCUUUUUGAGUACCUUCGUUUCCUCGGCGGGUUCGCCCGCCGAUUGGACAAUUUAAACCAUUUGCAGUUGCAAUCAGCGUCUGAAAAAACAUAAUAGUUACAACUUUCAACAACGGAUCUCUUGGUUCUGGCAUCGAUGAAGAACGCAGCGAAAUGCGAUAAGUAGUGUGAAUUGCAGAAUUCAGUGAAUCAUCGAAUCUUUGAACGCACAUUGCGCCCCUUGGUAUUCCAUGGGGCAUGCCUGUUCGAGCGUCAUUUGUACCUUCAAGCUCUGCUUGGUGUUGGGUGUUUGUCUCGCCUCUGCGCGUAGACUCGCCUCAAAACAAUUGGCAGCCGGCGUAUUGAUUUCGGAGCGCAGUACAUCUCGCGCUUUGCAUUCAGAACGACGACAUCCAAAAGUACAUUU